RNAcentral lists this ribosomal RNA (207 nucleotides) under uncultured bacterium. RNAcentral's name for it is "partial 16S ribosomal RNA". It matches the Rfam family "Bacterial small subunit ribosomal RNA", at positions 568 to 774 of the family's 1533-position model. The record is from RNAcentral.
CUCGUAGGCGGCCAACUAAGUCAGACGUGAAAUCCCUCAGCUUAACUGGGGAACUGCGUCUGAUACUGGAUGGCUUGGAUCCAGGAGAGGGAUGCGGAAUUCCAGGUGUAGCGGUGAAAUGCGUAGAUAUCUGGAGGAACACCGGUGGCGAAGGCGGCAUCCUGGACCGGUAUUGACGCUGAGGAGCGAAAGCCAGGGGAGCAAACG